This 503-nucleotide ribosomal RNA is filed under the name uncultured bacterium. RNAcentral's name for it is "partial 16S ribosomal RNA". It matches the Rfam family "Bacterial small subunit ribosomal RNA", at positions 30 to 523 of the family's 1533-position model. The record is from RNAcentral.
AUUGAACGCUGGCGGCAGGCUUAACACAUGCAAGUCGAGCGGGGUGAUGGUGCUUGCGCUAUCACUUAGCGGCGGACGGGUGAGUAAUGCUUAGGAAUCUGCCUAUUAGUGGGGGACAACAUCUCGAAAGGGAUGCUAAUACCGCAUACGUCCUACGGGAGAAAGCAGGGGAUCACUUGUGACCUUGCGCUAAUAGAUGAGCCUAAGUCGGAUUAGCUAGUUGGUGGGGUAAAGGCCUACCAAGGCGACGAUCUGUAGCGGGUCUGAGAGGAUGAUCCGCCACACUGGGACUGAGACACGGCCCAGACUCCUACGGGAGGCAGCAGUGGGGAAUAUUGGACAAUGGGGGGAACCCUGAUCCAGCCAUGCCGCGUGUGUGAAGCAGGCCUUAUGGUUGUAAGGCACUUUAAGCGAGGAGGAGGCUCUUUUGGUUAAUACCCAAGAUGAGUGGACGUUACUCGCAGAAUAAGCACCGGCUAACUCUGUGCCAGCCGCCGCCGUAA